AAACCGUGCAAAGGUAGCAUAAUCACUUGUCCCCUAAAUAGGGACUAGUAUGAAUGGUCAAAUGAGGACUAAACUGUCUCUUGCAUUUAACCAAUAAAACUGAUCUCUCAGUUAAAAAGCUGAGAUAUAAACAUAAGACGAGAAGACCCUGUGGAGCUUCAAACCAAGCCCAACCCUAAUGGGUGUUCGGUUUUUAGUUGGGGCGACUUCGGAGUACAAAAAAACCUCCGACACAACCAUAUCAAGACCAACACGUCAACAUAUGUUUUUACUGACCCGGUAUUUAAUAAAAUAUCCGAUCAAUGAACCAAGUUACCCCAGGGAUAACAGCGCUAUCCCCUUCUAGAGUCCUUAUCGACAAGGGGGUUUACGACCUCGAUGUUGGAUCAGGACACCCAAAUAGUGCAGCCGCUAUUAAAGGUUCGUUUGUUCAACGAUUAAUAGUCCUACGUGAUCUGA
This 459-nucleotide ribosomal RNA is filed under the name Pedioplanis haackei. RNAcentral describes it as "partial 16S ribosomal RNA". It matches the Rfam family "Bacterial large subunit ribosomal RNA", at positions 1943 to 2608 of the family's 2925-position model. The record is from RNAcentral. Lineage: Eukaryota; Metazoa; Chordata; Lepidosauria; Squamata; Lacertidae.